This 440-nucleotide ribosomal RNA is filed under the name uncultured bacterium. RNAcentral's name for it is "partial 16S ribosomal RNA". It matches the Rfam family "Bacterial small subunit ribosomal RNA", at positions 338 to 795 of the family's 1533-position model. The record is from RNAcentral.
CCUACGGGAGGCAGCAGUAGGGAAUCUUCCACAAUGGGGGCAACCCUGAUGCAGCAACGCCGCGUGAGUGAAGAAGUAUUUCGGUACGUAAAGCUCUAUCAGCAGGGAAGAAGAUGACGGUAACUGAGUAAGAAGCCCCGGCUAACUACGUGCCAGCAGCCGCGGUAAUACGUAGGGGGCAAGCGUUAUCCGGAUUUACUGGGUGUAAAGCGAGCGCAGACGGUGGGACAAGUCUGAAGUGAAAGCCCGGGGCUCAACCCCGGGACUGCUUUGGAAACUGCAUGACUGGAGUGCUGGAGAGGCAAGCGGAAUUCCUAGUGUAGCGGUGAAAUGCGUAGAUAUUUGGAAGAACACCAGUGGCGAAGGCGGCUUGCUGGUCAGCAACUGACGUUGAGGCUCGAAAGCGUGGGGAGCGAACAGGAUUAGAUACCCGUGUAGGC